RNAcentral lists this ribosomal RNA (567 nucleotides) under Triticum aestivum (bread wheat). Its description in RNAcentral is "partial small subunit ribosomal RNA". The record is from RNAcentral. Lineage: Eukaryota; Viridiplantae; Streptophyta; Magnoliopsida; Poales; Poaceae.
AUGAAAGCUCUUUUCUGGAACAUCAGGGAUUUCGGUGCUAGGGGGCGCAGAGACCAGCUGAAAGACCUUGUUCAGAGCGAUAAUAUUGACAUCAUUGGACUCGUUGAAAUGCUAAAACCCUCUUUCUCCCCUAAUGAACUCUCUACGGUUGCGGGGAUCGACAGAUUCGAGUGGAACUUUCUGCCUUCCUCGGGCCACUCCGGCGGCAUCCUUAUUGGUACUAAACGAGACAUGUUUGAUUUUGUUGCUUUCGAUCAUGGUAUUUUUUGGGCUAGCACUGUUGUGUCUCAUCGCUCCCUCAACGUUCUCUAGGAAGUUAUGGUAGUUUACGGUCCGGCUGACCAUUCUCUUUCCCACUUGUUCUUGGAUGAGGUAUCGAAUAAGAUUGAUUCGUGUGAUCUUCCCUUGCUUAUUGGUGGUGAUUUCAACUUAAUGCGCUCACCCUCGGACAAAAAUUCCCCUAACUUUUCCUGGUCGCUUGCUGACGCUUUUAACGCUUUCAUUUGUGACUCAUCUAUCUGUGAAGUGCCUAGGGUGGGUGCUCGCUUUACCUGGAUGAAUCACUAG